Molecule: transfer RNA, 83 nt
Filed under: Candidatus Omnitrophota bacterium
Lineage: Bacteria; Pseudomonadati; Candidatus Omnitrophota
Description: tRNA-Leu
Rfam family: tRNA
About the family: Transfer RNA (tRNA) molecules are approximately 80 nucleotides in length. Their secondary structure includes four short double-helical elements and three loops (D, anti-codon, and T loops). Further hydrogen bonds mediate the characteristic L-shaped molecular structure. tRNAs have two regions of fundamental functional importance: the anti-codon, which is responsible for specific mRNA codon recognition, and the 3' end, to which the tRNAs corresponding amino acid is attached (by aminoacyl-tRNA synthetases). tRNAs cope with the degeneracy of the genetic code in two manners: having more than one tRNA (with a specific anti-codon) for a particular amino acid; and 'wobble' base-pairing, i.e. permitting non-standard base-pairing at the 3rd anti-codon position.
Source: RNAcentral
GCCGGGGUGGUGGAAUGGCAGACACGUCGGUCUCAAAAACCGAUGAGGGUGACCUCAUGUGGGUUCAACUCCCACCCUCGGCA